GGGGGUGUAGCUCAUAUGGUAGAGCGCUCGCUCUGCAUGCCAGAGGCACGGGGUUUGAAUCCUCGCACCUCCA
Molecule: transfer RNA, 73 nt
Organism: Ipomoea nil (Japanese morning glory)
Lineage: Eukaryota; Viridiplantae; Streptophyta; Magnoliopsida; Solanales; Convolvulaceae
Rfam family: tRNA
About the family: Transfer RNA (tRNA) molecules are approximately 80 nucleotides in length.
Source: Rfam